CCUANGGGUGGCAGCAGGCGCGAAAACUUUACACUACACGAAAGUGUGAUAAGGGAAUUCCAAGUGUGCAUAUACCAUAUGCACUUUUCUAAAGUUUAAAAAGCUUUGGGAAUAAGGGGUGGGCAAGACUAGUGCCAGCCGCCGCGGUAAAACUAGCAUCUCAAGUGGCAGUCACCAUUAUUGGGCUUAGAGCGUCCGUAGCUCGUUUGGAAAGUCUCUGGUGAAAUCCUGCGGCUUAACCGUAGGGCGUGCCGGAGAAACUACCAGACUUGAAGGCAGGAGAGGUCAGGGGUACGUCUGGGGUAGGGGUGAAAUCCUAUAAUCCUAGACGGACCAACAGUGGCGAAGGCGCCUGACAUGAAUGCGCUUGACAGUGAGGGACGAGAGCCAAGAGCGCGAAACGGAUUAGAUACCCUGNUANUC
Molecule: ribosomal RNA, 423 nt
Filed under: uncultured bacterium
Lineage: Bacteria
Description: bacterial SSU rRNA
Rfam family: Archaeal small subunit ribosomal RNA
Source: RNAcentral